UACUGGUAGCUCUAAGCCAGGGGCGGUAGCGUG
The sequence is a regulatory RNA element, 33 nucleotides long. It matches the Rfam family "JUMPstart RNA", at positions 6 to 38 of the family's 38-position model. The record is from Rfam.